Candida albicans SC5314 is the source of this 84-nucleotide small nucleolar RNA. The record is from RefSeq and is a predicted model, not a curated record. NCBI's taxonomy places the organism in Eukaryota, Fungi, Ascomycota, Pichiomycetes, Serinales, Debaryomycetaceae.
AAUAUGAUGAAAUUAUCCUCACAAUUUUUUUUGACAAGCAUAUGUCUGAAUUAAUGAAGAUAUAUAAAGUAUAUUGUCUGAUUU